RNAcentral lists this long non-coding RNA (5369 nucleotides) under Pelobates cultripes (western spadefoot toad). Lineage: Eukaryota; Metazoa; Chordata; Amphibia; Anura; Pelobatidae. The record is from RNAcentral.
CUCAGUGCCACUUGGGAUUCGGGCCAGUAAACAGCUUCCUGUCUCCUGCUCCUGUUUGCCUGGGCCUGCAGAUUGACACAGCCUGAGGUGAUGGAUAUUGAGGCGAUCCUGUCGUCCCUCAGGGCUGCUGCUGCGCUGGAUGGUGGCCGGCAACUGAGGGAGCAAUUUCAGAUGAUUAGUGGAGGUAUGGCUGCCGGUGUGGGCACCCCCCGUGGCCUUCCCUCCCCUGGGGCACCCCCUGUGGUCUCCCCUGCUGCUCCUCCUGCGGUCCCUGCCCCUGGGGGCCGCACCAGCACUGGCAGGCGCUCCCGACCGCCUGCCAGGCUCUCCCCUGAUCCUGCUCCUCGGGCCCGGUUGAGGACUGGGAGCCCGGGCCCGAGGCAUCGACGGAACCGCGUGUCUGGGGCUCCAGACACGCGGCCUGCCACCAGGAGUGGCAAUUUGCGGCCUUCUGCGGCCGCGCGGGUGGCACGGCCUUCAGCCACGAGGCCUGCCACUGCCGCGCGGCCAGCCGCCUCCCCCGCCGCUCGGCCUUCCACUGGGAGGCCGGGGAUGCGGCCUACUUCCGCCGCGCGGCCUCCUGUUGCGGCUGCCGCGCGGCCUAUCCGAAGAUCACCUUCCACACCAUCCGCCCCGGCCGCCUGUGCUGGAUUGCGGUCCGGUGGCGGUGGGCGGCGGAUUUUGCCAUCCGGGCGGCGGGCGGCCGCCCGGCAACGAUCCAGGUCCCCCCGCGGCCGGCGGGGUGGUAGGGCGGUGAGUAGGCCCUCGCGGGCCGCGCGGGGUACCUUUGUACCGCCGUUGGGGGGUCGGGGGGGGUCUCCUUGCCCGUCGGGAGCCUCCUCUGCCAGUGAGGAUGGCUCCCAGGGCUCUGUCUCCCCUCCCUCCCCUGCCCGUUCUUCUAUGCCUGGUCCCCCAUCCUCCUGUCCUGUCUCUGCCCCCCCCCUUUCUUCCUCUGGUGGGCCUCCUCCCCCUCUCCCCUCUUUUCUUCCCCCUCCCGUUUUUUCUUCCCCCCCCUCUGGUCCCCAUCCCUUCCUUUCUGCCUCCCCUCUCUCCUAUUCUGCUCCCUCUGCCCUGCCUGGCCCCCCUCCCCCCCCUGCAGGUCACUUACCUCGGCCAUCUCCUCUGGGGCAUGGGCUCACGUCCUCUCUGCCGCUCUCUUCUCAGGAUACUGCUGCAGUACAUGGAUCCGUCCAGCAGGUGGCGUCUGGUCCUCAGCUGAUGUCUUCGGUGGACGCUGGAACUGCAGUUUCAUUGCCUCAGCCUUCUGUGAGCGCAGUGCCGGGCUUGGAUCGCCAGUCUGCGACCGGUGAGUACCUUAUUCCUUCCGUUUCUGGCGCUGCGGGUCCCGGGCUGGGGGGGUUCCUCUUAGGUCUUAGGGUUUUUUUGGAUCAGUGGGAAAAAGGGGUGGCAGUUAGCGGUAAUACUCUUGAUAGUCAGCUCCGGUCAGCGUGGUCCCCAGCCCUGCUCGCUCCUCCGGUUCAGUUUUCCCCUCCUCCUGGGCCCCUACCAGGGUCUGUGGGCGGUGCGGCGCCUCUGAGUUCCCCGGCGCCCGCGGUGGCCAAUGUUGGUUCCGCCUCGGGCGAUGCUGGUCUCGACGGGGGGGUCUCGGACGUAGCACGGGGUGCUGCUUACAUGUGCUGGUCUGGCCCCCUAGGCUUGCACUUGAAGCAGGAGACUAAAGAAAAAAUUUGGAAGGGGGAAUUUGUGGAAAUAUAUUCUCUUCUGCCGCUGGAGGAAGCUCCUCCCGUGGCGGACAAGGACAGCAAGGAGUCGGAGAAGGAUAGGGAGAAAUACCGUUUCCGCAAAAUUCCCAAGAACUUUGGGAAUUGGAUUCGGGCGUUCUCUAUUUUGGCCAGCGUGGUGGGGGAAAAGUCUCCCCAAAAGUGUUCCGCUCUGUUCUGUUAUCAGGACACGAUCUGGAACGCUUGUCGCACCUAUGGGGGGUUAGGUUGGUGGAGGUACGACGAGCAGUUUCGACAGCGACUGGCAGUGCGUCCCUCGCUGUCGUGGGAUCAGAUGGAUAUCGGCCUAUGGCUUUCCAUCAUGACUCGUCCUGCCCCUCAACAGGGUGCGUUUUCGUCUUUUCUUGGGGGGGCCGGUGGGGGCACCUCCUCCUCCUCAUCGGCCUCCAGUCAGAGGUCCGGCUGUUGUUGGAAGUUUAAUGACAGUCUCUGUAAGUGGGGGUCCUCGUGCCGGUUUAAGCACGAGUGCUCCGGCUGCGGUGGGGCCCAUCCCGCCUCACGCUGUUUCAAGCGGGGCAAAACGGGGGAGAAGGGGGACAUGGGGGCUAAGGGCGACGACUCCGGUCCUCGUAAACGCGAUGCGCCCGUGGCUCGACCUUUAUAAGAAUCGGGCUGCGGCGCGGAUCCUGGUGGAUGGGUUUGAGCAGGGGUUUUGGAUCCCUUUCGCGGAGCGCCCUCCGCUGCUCUCCGUCCGGAACCUCAAGUCCGUGCGGGCUUUUCCUCAGGUGGUGCGGGACAAGUUGGAAAAGGAGGUCUCCUUGGGUCGGAUGGCCGGCCCGUUCUCCACCCCGCCGAUGGCGAAUCUGCGGGUUUCUCCCUUGGGUGUGGUACCCAAGAAGGAUCCCGGGAAGUUUCGUUUAAUUCACCAUUUGUCGUACCCUCGGGGCGGAUCGGUGAAUGAUGACAUUUCCGCUGAACUUUGCAGGGUUUCCUACGCAUCCUUUGAUGCGGCGGUUCGAAUGGUGAGAGCGGCGGGCCCGGGGGCACUGCUGGCUAAGGCGGAUGUGGAAUCCGCUUUCCGGCUGCUCCCGGUGCAUCCGGAGUGCCAUCAUCUUUUGGGGUGUGCCUUUGAGGGCCAAUUUUUUGUGGACAUGUGCCUCCCCAUGGGUUGCUCGCUAUCCUGUUUUUAUUUUGAGUGCUUUAGCACUUUUCUGGAAUGGGUGGUGCGGAGGGAAGCGGGGGUCGCUUCCCUCCUGCACUACCUGGAUGAUUUCCUGUGUGUAGGUCCGGCGGAGUCGCACGUCUGUGCUCUCCUGCUGCGGGUUCUCGGAGAGGUGUUUCAUCACUUCGGGGUUCCGUUGGCUCGUGACAAGACGGUUGGUCCGGUCACGUGCUUGAGCUUUCUGGGCAUCGAAAUCGAUUCGAUGGCUGGGGAAUGUCGGCUGCCGCAUGAUAAGGUCUUGGAUCUGCGCCUAGCGGUGUCCCGAGCCCUGGGGCGGCGUAAGAUCCAGCUACGCUGCCUGCAGUCUUUGCUGGGGAAGUUCAAUUUUGCCUGUCGGAUAUUGCCAAUGGGGCGUAUUUUUAAUAGGCGCUUGGCGGCGGCGACGUCGGGGGUCGCUCAUCCGCAGCAUUUUAUCCGGCUUACCCGGCCCUUACGGGCUGAUUUGGCCGUCUGGGACUCCUUUUUGGCCUCUUAUAAUGGCAGGUCUUACUGGCAGGCCCCGGAGGUCUCUAAUGCGGACCUCCAUUUGUUUACUGAUGCGGCGGGUUCGGCCGGCUUUGGAGCCAUCCUGGGCGCCAAAUGGUGCGCUGACUCAUGGCCGGAGACCUGGCACGCGGCAGGGCUCACUCGAAAUCUGGCAUUUCUGGAGCUCUUCCCAAUUUUGGUAGCUUUGGAGGUAUGGGGUUCCCUGCUGGUGGAUAGUCGGGUGGUCUUCCAUUGUGACAAUUUGGGUGUAGUGCAGGCUAUUAACCAGCUGUCUGCUUCUUCCCCCCCCGUGGUUCGCUUGCUCCGACGCCUAGUGCUGCGUUGUCUCGAGCUGAAUGUGUAUUGUAGGGCUGUGCACAUCCCGGGUGUGCGUAAUGUGAUGGCCGAUGCUCUCUCUCGUUCACAGUGGGACGUGUUUCGGGCGGUGGCUCCACAAGCCGAGCUGGAGGGUGUCCCGUGUCCGACAGAGAUGUGGUCCUUGGGUCUGACAGACUGAUGGAGUUGGUCCGUGGGUCGGUCGCUGCGGCCACAUGGGACCGCUAUAAUAAGGUUUGGAGGGAAUGGGAAGGGUGGGAAGGGUCCUGUGGGGGCUUCCGGGACUCAUCCUCUCGUCUGCAGGGUUUGGUUCGGCUCUUAGGGGACUGGGAGGCCGCGGGGUUGUCUCCCUCGGCCAUAUCGGCACGCUUAGCGGGGCUCAGCUUCCUGUUUAAGCUACGGGGUUGGGAGGACGCUACCAAGGCGUUCAUUGUCCGUCAGGCUCUGAAGGGCUUGAGGCGGGGGAGGGUGUCGGUGCCGGACUCGAGGCGUCCUGUCUCGGGCACGCUCCUAACUGCUUUGUGUGAGGCGUUGCACCGGGUUUGCCAUUCGGAUUUCGAGGUUCGGCUGUUUCGCCUUGCCUUUUCCCUGGCAUUCUUCGGCGCCAUGCGGAUUGGGGAGCUGGUAUGCCCCAGCCGGCGGCAGGUAGGGGGGGUGUUGUUUGGUGACGUUUCGUGCGGCACUGAUCUGAUCUCGUUCCGGAUCCGCCGCUCUAAGACGGACGUCUUGGGGAGGGGUAAGUGGGUCCGUUUGGGGGCGGUUCCGGGUUCCGGCGUUUGUCCGGUUUGGUCCUUUGGGGAAUAUUGUUCUGUGCGCUCUUCUCCUGCGCUGCCUCUCCUGGUCCAUGGGGAUGGGAGUUUCCUGUCCCAUUUCCAGUUUGUUAGAGUGUUUCGUUUAGGGCUGGAAGCGAUGGGGUUGGAUAGCAGGGAGUUCGGGGGCCAUUCCUUCCGUGUUGGAGCGGCGACCGAGGCCUCUCGGCUAGGCAUGCCAGCGCAGGUGGUUCAGAGGAUUGGUAGGUGGGACUCGAGGCGUUAUAUUUCCUAUGUUCGUCCGGCCGGUUUAAUGUCAUGAUUUCUUUUCACAGUUUCGGUUCCCCCCAGGAUCUGGAUCGUCGGGCACUCUUAUGUUUACUGGGCUGGGCAGCGUGCGGCGGUUCGGCCUGGAGGUGCGAGGUUGGGUUUCACGCCUUCCGAAGCGGAAGUUCGAUGGCUCGGUGCAAGGGGUAUGAGGUGGUCACGGCUCCUCCCCGAGUUAGUGCGGCUGUCUCGUCUCUUAGGGGCGCCGAGUGUCCUGGUGAUUCACCUGGGGGGGAAUGAUCUGGGUUCAGUACCCAUCUGGGAUUUAAUCACGGAGGUGAAGCGGGACUUGGCCCGCAUUUUGCUUUUAUUCCCGGGCGUGCGCUUGAUCUGGUCGGAAGUUAUUGCCCGCAAUUAUUGGCGUGGCGCCAGGAAUCAGAGUGCCGUGGAGCGCUGCCGUCGGAAGUUAAACAGGAGGGUUUCCCAGUUGUUUUGGGGGCUCAAGGGCUCCCGGUCCGCCACAGGGUUUUUGAGCGGGAGGCGGCUCAUUUUUUCGUGGGGAUGGUGUACACCUAACGGAGGUCGGGCUCGACCUUUUUAAUCUCGCCUUGCAGGAGGCGGUGGAACAGGCCAUGGGUGGUUUUGGUG